AGACAAACGACGCUGCAGG
Molecule: small nuclear RNA, 19 nt
Filed under: Arabidopsis thaliana (thale cress)
Lineage: Eukaryota; Viridiplantae; Streptophyta; Magnoliopsida; Brassicales; Brassicaceae
Description: snRNA_15436
Source: RNAcentral